RNA transcript from Schistocerca nitens (vagrant locust), 918 nucleotides. It is a transcript of the gene named protein chibby homolog 1, with no coding region annotated. Lineage: Eukaryota; Metazoa; Arthropoda; Insecta; Orthoptera; Acrididae. The record is from RefSeq and is a predicted model, not a curated record. The transcript has 4 exons.
UUGGGAGGCAUGUUUUGUUUAUAGACGUCUAGACGAGAAGCGCGUGAAUAAAAAAGUGUUUGUUUGUAGUUGGAAGACAGAAAGUGUGGAAUAGGUGUUUCAUAGAAACUGUGCUUCAUAAAUGGCUGUGCAAUGCCACUAUUUUCAAAUAAAUUUUCACCCAGAAAACCGACACCACGAAAAGCCAUUGCAACUAUUGGACAGGAAAGGCCCACUGAGGAUCUCGGGUUGGAAGUUGGAGAAAUUAGGAUAAGAUUGGGAGAACAAGAAGCUGUAUUCGACAAGGGAGAAUGGCUACCAGAGACUGGCCCAACAAGUGGAAUUCACAAAGAAAACAAGAAAUUGAGGAAAAGGCUACAAGAUCUUGAGAAUGAGAACAAUUUGCUUAAACUGAAAUUUGAAAUUCUUCUUGACAUGAACACCACCAUGACUAACAAGGUCACGUGAUGUCUCCCCAGUUGAGAAAAUUUGGAGCAUUAUGGGCAGGGCCCCCCGAACCAGCUAACACAAACAACUGCUGAAGCUCAUCUCAAAGAAAAACAGAUGGAGAAACUGCAGUCAGCUGUGAAACACUUAAAACGGAGAAAUUGAGAACUAUUAUUUCUGCCGUCAGAUGAUUCUUGCUCUACAGAAAUAAGUUAUCACCAGCAGGUCUGAAAGACAUCAUGGUGUGAUAAAUAAUUCAUGAACGGAGACACUGCAACUAAGUGUAGUGGUUAUUGUUAAGGAGAACUGAUGUUUUGUUCCACAGCUCAGACAAUGAAACACUUAAUCAGUGUGUAGAAGGUUGUCUGUAUAGAAGCUAAUUGCUGUAAAACUGAAGCCUUCAGAAAUUUUUACGGAAUACACUCUUUGUGGAUUUUUGUCAUACUGUUUAAGAAGGCUGCCUGAUAGUGUUUAGCGUGAGUGAAAAAUAAA